GAUGAACGCUAGCGGCAGGCCUAAUACAUGCAAGUCGGACGGGAUUCAGGAGCUUGCUUCUGCUGAGAGUGGCGCACGGGUGCGUAACACGUAUGUAACCUACCUUUAUCAGGGGGAUAGCCUCUCGAAAGAGAGAUUAAGCCCGCAUAAAAUCACAGCACAGCAUUGUGUAAUGAUCAAAUAUUUAUAGGAUAACGAUGGGCAUGCGGAACAUUAGCUAGAUGGCGGGGUAACGGCCCACCAUGGCGACGAUGUUUAGGGGAUCUGAGAGGAUGGCCCCCCACACUGGUACUGAGACACGGACCAGACUCCUACGGGAGGCAGCAGUAAGGAAUAUUGGUCAAUGGGCGGAAGCCUGAACCAGCCAUGCCGCGUGCAGGAAGACGGCCCUACGGGUUGUAAACUGCUUUUAUACGGGAAUAAACCCAGAUACGUGUAUCUGGCUGAAUGUACUGUAAGAAUAAGGAUCGGCUAACUCCGUG
Molecule: ribosomal RNA, 482 nt
Filed under: uncultured bacterium
Lineage: Bacteria
Description: partial 16S ribosomal RNA
Rfam family: Bacterial small subunit ribosomal RNA
Source: RNAcentral